Molecule: long non-coding RNA, 1275 nt
Organism: Capra hircus (goat)
Lineage: Eukaryota; Metazoa; Chordata; Mammalia; Artiodactyla; Bovidae
Exons: 2
Source: RefSeq, a predicted model, not a curated record
UGAGAGACCCACGGCGCGACAGACAGAGAAGGGGACGAGAUGCAAUCAGGGAAACCCCGAGACUCAAGUCAACUUGUCCCAGUCUGUGUAUUUUCCAGGUCAUCUGGUGGGUUUCAUAUCAAGAAGUUCCAGUAUAUACCCUCCCACCUGGGACAUCCUGAUUUAUGCCUGUUGUCCUGGUGGAAACAUCCGUGGAGCUCCGUUCUGCUCUCAGAAGUGUCUUGGUUUGGAAAAUCCCACUCAGGGAUGAGGCUAUGAACUCACGUAUGAUGAGGUCUCAUCUUACUGCAGGACUCCCUCCACCUCAUCCCAACCUUAGGUGGGCUCGGAAGAUCAGAUUUAUAUAACCCCAAACAAACACAUUCCAGCAUCAACUGCUCAAGUGCUCUACACUGCAGGCUUCAGAAUUCCACACAGGUGGAGGUCAAGGGUGGUGUUCUAGGAUGGGGUGGGGGAUAGCAAAAUGGCCUGUCUUGAAGCUGCAUUUGUAAAGCCAAUACAUUGUGUUGUUUUCAUAAUUUUCUUCCUUCCUUCCAUUAUGGCUGCACUGAGUCUUUGUUGCUCUAUGGACUUUUCUCUAGUUGUGGUGAACGGGAGCUAUCCUCUAGCUGCAGGGUGCGGGCUUCUCUGUUGCGACGCACCGGCUAUAGGGCGCGUGGGCUCCAGCAGUCAUGGCUCCCAGGCUCUAGAGCACGGGCUCAGCAGCUGUAGUGCACGGGCCCAGUUGCUCCAUGGCAGCUGGGAUUCUCCUGGACCCGGAAUCCUGUGUUGGCAGGUGGAUUCUCUGUCACUGAGCCAUGAGGGAAUCCCCAGUACACCGCUGUAAAAUCAUUAAGGAUUUCCCAUUUCUGUCGAUCUGGAACUCAGGUACAGUGAGGUGCACUUCUAAGUAGACAGCCUGAUGAAGUUUUCCAUCUGUUUAUAGCCAUGCAGCCACCAUCCAGUUCAACAUAUUUUUAGAACCUUCUCCAGACGGUUCUCUCAUGCCCUCUCUCAGUUCAAACCUCCCAAAGAUAACCAACCAACUUUUUGACCUCUACAACUACAGAUUAGUUCUUCCUAUUUAAAAAAUUUUUUUAUCUAUUUAGCUGUGAUGGGUCCUAGUCACAGCACAUGGAACCUUCAGUUGUGGCAUGUGGGAUCCAGCUGCCUGACCAGGAAUUGAAGUCACUCACCGUGAACUGGGAUCUUGGAGUCCCAGCCACUGGACCACCAGGAAAAUCCCAGUUCUUCCUACUUCCGGACUUCAUAUAAAUAAACCACACAGACAUCUCA